GUAACACGUAAAGAACCUGCCCUCAGGUCUGGGAUAACCACGAGAAAUCGGGGCUAAUACCGGAUGGGUCAUCGGACCGCAUGGUCCGAGGAUGAAAGGCGCUUCGGCGUCGCCUGGGGAUGGCUUUGCGGUGCAUUAGCUAGUUGGUGGGGUAAUGGCCCACCAAGGCGACGAUGCAUAGCCGACCUGAGAGGGUGAUCGGCCACACUGGGACUGAGACACGGCCCAGACUCCUACGGGAGGCAGCAGUAGGGGAUCUUCCACAAUGGACGAAAGUCUGAUGGAGCAACGCCGCGUGGACGAUGAAGGCCUUCGGGUCGUAAAGUUCUGUUGUAAGGGAAGAACAAGUGCCGCAGGCAAUGGCGGCACCUUGACGGUACCUUGCGAGAAAGCCACGGCUAACUACGUGCCAGCAGCCGCGGUAAUACGUAGGUGGCAAGCGUUGUCCGGAAUUAUUGGGCGUAAAGCGCGCGCAGGCGGCCUCUUAAGUCUGAUGUGUAAGCCCCCGGCUCAACCGGGGAGGGCCAUUGGAAACUGGGAGGCUUGAGUAUAGGAGAGAAGAGUGGAAUUCCACGUGUAGCGGUGAAAUGCGUAGAGAUGUGGAGGAACACCAGUGGCGAAGGCGACUCUUUGGCCUAUAACUGACGCUGAGGCG
This 655-nucleotide ribosomal RNA is filed under the name uncultured bacterium. Its description in RNAcentral is "bacterial SSU rRNA". It matches the Rfam family "Bacterial small subunit ribosomal RNA", at positions 110 to 753 of the family's 1533-position model. The record is from RNAcentral.